Molecule: ribosomal RNA, 465 nt
Filed under: Vreelandella stevensii
Lineage: Bacteria; Pseudomonadati; Pseudomonadota; Gammaproteobacteria; Oceanospirillales; Halomonadaceae
Description: partial 16S ribosomal RNA
Rfam family: Bacterial small subunit ribosomal RNA
Source: RNAcentral
CCUACGGGAGGCAGCAGUGGGGAAUAUUGGACAAUGGGGGCAACCCUGAUCCAGCCAUGCCGCGUGUGUGAAGAAGGCCCUCGGGUUGUAAAGCACUUUCAGUGAGGAAGAACGCCUGGUGGUUAAUACCCAUCAGGAAAGACAUCACUCACAGAAGAAGCACCGGCUAACUCCGUGCCAGCAGCCGCGGUAAUACGGAGGGUGCGAGCGUUAAUCGGAAUUACUGGGCGUAAAGCGCGCGUAGGUGGCUUGAUAAGCCGGUUGUGAAAGCCCCGGGCUCAACCUGGGAACGGCAUCCGGAACUGUCAAGCUAGAGUGCAGGAGAGGAAGGUAGAAUUCCCGGUGUAGCGGUGAAAUGCAUAGAGAUCGGGAGGAAUACCAGUGGCGAAGGCGGCCUUCUGGACUGACACUGACACUGAGGUGCGAAAGCGUGGGUAGCAAACAGGAUUAGAUACCCUUGUAGUC